CCUUACUGCUAUCGAGAUGGGACUAAGCCAGGCCAGUCGAACGACCCGAACUAAGGCGGGAAGUGGCAUACUGCUCAGUAACACGUAGCUAACCUAACCUCAAGACGGAAACAACCCCGGGAAACUGGGGUCAAUUUCCGAUAGAUGUGAAAUCCUGGAAUGGUAUCACAUCCAAACGUCACCACACCAUGUUGUGCGAACGCCUGAGGAUGGGGCUGCGGCCGAUCAGGCUGUUGGUGGGGUAAUGGCCCACCAAACCUUUGACCGGUACGGGCCAUGAGAGUGGCAGCCCGGAGAUGGACACUGAGACAAGGGUCCAGGCCCUACGGGGCGCAGCCGGUACGAAACCUCCACAAUGCACGCAAGUGCGAUGGGGUUAUCUCGAGUGCUACCUUAACCGGUAGCUUUUCCAUUGUCUAAAUAGCCGUGGGAAUAAGGGGGGGGCAAGACUGGUGUCAGCCGCCGCGGUAACACCAGCCCCCCGAGUGGUAGGGAUGAUUAUUUGGCCUAAAGCGUCCGUAGCCUGCUAGGUAAAUUUCUCGUUAAAUCCAACGUCCUAAGCGUUGGGCCGCGUGAAAAACUGCCAAGCUAGAGGGUGGGAGAGGUCAGCGGUAUUCCUGGGGUAGGGGCGAAAUCCAUUGAACCCAGGAGGACCACCAGUGGCGAAGGCUGCUGACUAGAACACGCCUGACGGUCAGGGACGAAAGCUGGGGUAGCGAAUCGGAUUAGAUACCCGAGUGGUCCCAGCCGUAAACGAUGCAGACUAGGUGUUGGGUUGUCCACGUGCCGACUCAGUGCCACAGGGAAGCCAUUAAGUCUGCCGCCUGGGAAGUACGGCCGCAAGGCUGAAACUUAAAGGAAUUGGCGGGGGAGCACCACCAGGCGUGAAGCCUGCGGUUUAAUUGGAGUCAACGCCGGGAACCUUACCGGGAGCGACAGCAGAGUGAAGGCCAGGCUAAAGGUCUUGCCAGACGAGCUGAGAGGAGGUGCAUGGCCGUCGCCAGUUCGUGCCGUGAGGUGUCCUCUUAAGUGAGGUAACGAACGAGACCCGUGCCGCAUGUUGCUAACAAAUCCUAAAGGGAUGUUGAGCACUCUUGCGGGACUGCAGCCGACAAGGCUGAGGAAGGUACGGGCCACGGCAGGUCAGUAUGCCCCGAAUCUCCCGGGCCACACGCGGGCUGCAAUGGUAGAGACAGAGGGCUGCCACCCCGAGAGGGGGAGCCAAUCCCUAAACUCUACCUCAGUUGGGAUUGAGGGCUGCAACCCGCCCUCAUGAACAUGGAAUGCCUAGUAAUUGCCAGUCAUCAUCUGGCGGUGAAUACGUCCCUGCUCCUUGCACACACUGCCCGUCGAACCACCCGAAUGAGGUCGGGGUGAGGCAUGAUCGAAUGUUGGUCGUGUCGAACCUGGGCCUCGUAAGGAGGGUU
Molecule: ribosomal RNA, 1427 nt
Filed under: uncultured archaeon
Lineage: Archaea
Description: bacterial SSU rRNA
Rfam family: Archaeal small subunit ribosomal RNA
Source: RNAcentral